This 460-nucleotide ribosomal RNA is filed under the name uncultured bacterium. Its description in RNAcentral is "partial 16S ribosomal RNA". It matches the Rfam family "Bacterial small subunit ribosomal RNA", at positions 338 to 795 of the family's 1533-position model. The record is from RNAcentral.
CCUACGGGAGGCAGCAGUGAGGAAUUUUGGUCAAUGGGCGAGAGCCUGACCCAGCCAAGCCGCGUGAAGGAUGAAGGAUCUAUGGUUUGUAAACUUCUUUUAUAUGGGAGUAAAGUGAGGAACGUGUUCCUUUUUGUACGUACCAUAUCAAUACGCAUCGGCUAGCCCCGUGCCAGCAGCCGAGGUAAUACGGAGGAUGCGUGCGUUAUCCGGAUUUAUUGGGUGUAAAGGGUGCGUAGGUGGUUAAUUAAGUUAGCGGUGAAAGUUUGUGGCUCAACCAGAGAAUUGCCGUUGAAACUGGUUGACUUGAGUAUAUUUGAGGUAGGCGGAAUGCGAGGUGUAGCGGUGAAAUGCAUAGAUAUCACGAAGAACACCGAUUGCGAAGGCAGCUUACUAAACUAUAACUGACACUGAGGCACGAAAGCGUGGGGAUCAAACAGGAUUAGAUACCCUUGUAGUC